RNAcentral lists this ribosomal RNA (253 nucleotides) under uncultured bacterium. Its description in RNAcentral is "partial 16S ribosomal RNA". It matches the Rfam family "Bacterial small subunit ribosomal RNA", at positions 524 to 776 of the family's 1533-position model. The record is from RNAcentral.
UACGUAGGGUGCGAGCGUUAAUCGGAAUUACUGGGCGUAAAGUGUGCGCAGGCGGCUCUGCAAGUCAGGCGUGAAAUCCCCGGGCUUAACCUGGGAACUGCAUUUGUGACUGCAUGGCUGGAGUGCGGCAGAGGGGGAUGGAAUUCCGCGUGUAGCAGUGAAAUGCGUAGAUAUGCGGAGGAACACCGAUGGCGAAGGCAAUCCCCUGGGCCUGCACUGACGCUCAUGCACGAAAGCGUGGGGAGCAAACAGG